Molecule: long non-coding RNA, 1370 nt
Filed under: Homo sapiens (human)
Lineage: Eukaryota; Metazoa; Chordata; Mammalia; Primates; Hominidae
Description: HSALNT0339855
Source: RNAcentral
GGCACGUCUGAAUCCGGAGCUGGGGUUCUUACCCACUCCAGUGACUGCCUCUCAGAAAAGAACAGGGCAAUGUCCAUUCUCCUUUUAUUUUCUUUAAGCACCUGAUCAUUCUAAAAGCAUGUGUUCCUCCGUGUGUGUGAGUUGUGUACACGUGUGUGUGUGUUCCUUUCUUUUCUCGGACUCCAGGCUCAUGACUGCUUAUUUGCAUGGUGUUUUGGUGUCAAAGGAGUGUUGAAUGUGUUCUCCACACACCCAGCUUUAUUCCACUCUAGGAGUUUAACUUCUUCAGCAUUGUUAUGAGGUCCCCGGUGACCUCAGUUUCUCCUCUCCGCGUCAUCCAGGACUUCACCUGAAGCUUGAGCUACACGUAAGACUUCAUCUACCUUGCACAGGGCAAUGGAGAGAGGAUGGCAUACCAGAAUCACCAGAUGACAGACAUCGGGGUGCUGUCGGACCCGGGAAUCAGAACCUCUGCAGAUAGAUAUUUUGGAAGGCGCUCCCUAGAUUGGCACCUCUGAUUCCUGCAAGUAGACUGACAGCUGCAUGUUUGCAGGAAAGUUAAAUAUUUUGACAGCGCAGAAGACUGCUGCAUCUGGAGGGUUCUGGGUCCAGCUAUAACCAGACUUGCCUGUCCUAAACAAAUGGAUUGACUGCUUCCGGCAUCCUCACUUUACUUCUGCAUGGUGACCAACAUCCGGAGCUUAAUUACCUGACAGCCAGGAGAUAACAAAAAUGUCAUGCCUGAGUCCCUGAUAGCAACCCCAGAGGAGCUCCAGGUUUGAGGCAGCGCUGGCAGGACGUGGUCUAUCUGCCAUCUGAAGCCCUUCAUUGCCCGCCUGGCUGUGAAUCUCACCUCCUCUGUAGUGGAAAACAGGCUGAACAGAACUGGCAGGCAGCUUUGCAGGGGAGCUAAGAUUCUUCCGAGAAAAAGCAGAAUGAGAGAGAGAUAUGCAGCUGCAGUGGAGGACUUGGAAGAGAACAACGCCAGGUCCUGGAUCCUGCAAGAAUCUCCUCUGGAAAAGCAGGGGAGAGAAAAGCAAGGAAGGAAGCAGGGUCACCGCAAGUGUGGGAUUUGUCUUAUUAAAAUCUGAUACUGUGUGGCAGUUUGCUUCACUCUUGGUAUAAAAUGUCUGAGCUCCAUGUUAAAGUAAAUGUAAGUAAUAUAAAUCUGCCUUUCCUGAGGUGAAAAUAGAUCCAUAUUAUUUAAAAUAUGAACUGAGAUAGAUGACAGUUACAAACAUUAUACUUGUUCUUAUUAUAAUUCUUACUAAGCUCAAGGAAUAAAAACUGGGAUGAUGAAAAAGAAGUUCUGAAUGUAAAAAUUGGUGUUUUGGAUAAAAUACAAACCAACCCAGAAAUGAUGAAAAAAA